AACGAACGCUGGUGGUAUGCCUAAUACAUGCAAGUCGCACGAGAAAGUCUUUCGGGAUGAGUACAGUGGCGCACGGGUGAGUAACGCGUGGGUGACGUGCCUUUUAGUGGGGGACAACCUCGGGAAACCGGGGCUAAUACCGCAUACGUAGUUUUUAUUUGAAUAGAAAAUUACAAAGAUGGCCUCUAUUUAUAAGCUAUCGCUAAAAGAUCGGCCCGCGUAGCAUUAGCUUGUUGGUGGGGUAA
Molecule: ribosomal RNA, 245 nt
Filed under: uncultured bacterium
Lineage: Bacteria
Description: partial 16S ribosomal RNA
Rfam family: Bacterial small subunit ribosomal RNA
Source: RNAcentral